RNAcentral lists this ribosomal RNA (648 nucleotides) under uncultured bacterium. RNAcentral's name for it is "bacterial SSU rRNA". It matches the Rfam family "Bacterial small subunit ribosomal RNA", at positions 237 to 879 of the family's 1533-position model. The record is from RNAcentral.
CCUAUCAGCUUGUUGGUGAGGUAAUGGCUCACCAAGGCAUUUGACGGGUAGCUGGUCUGAGAGGAUGGUCAGCCACACUGGGACUGAGACACUGCCCAGACUUCUACGGGAGGCUGCAGUCGAGAAUCUUUCGCAAUGGGGGAAACCCUGACGAAGCGACGCCGCGUGGGCGGUGAAGGCCUUCGGGUUGUAAAGCCCUGUCACGAGGGACGAAUGCACAAUGGCGAAUAGCCUGCGUGUUUGACAGUACCUCGAGAGGAAGCCACGGCUAACUCCGUGCCAGCAGCCGCGGUAAUACGGAGGUGGCAAGCGUUGUUCGGAUUUAUUGGGUGUAAAGGGCAUGUAGGCGGCCUUUUAAGUCGAUUGUGAAAGCCCCCGGCUUAACCGGGGAAUUGCGAUCGAUACUGAGAGGCUUGAGUACAGAAGAGGAGAACGGAAUUCCCGGUGUAAGGGUGAAAUCUGUAGAGAUCGGGAGGAACACCAGUGGCGAAGGCGGUUCUCUGGUCUGUUACUGACGCUGAAAUGCGAAAGCUAGGGGAGCAAACAGGAUUAGAUACCCUGGUAGUCCUAGCCGUAAACGAUGGGCACUAGGUGCCGGGUAGCAAUAUUCGGUGCCGCAGUUAACACAUUAAGUGCCCCACCUGGGGA